This 255-nucleotide ribosomal RNA is filed under the name uncultured bacterium. RNAcentral's name for it is "partial 16S ribosomal RNA". It matches the Rfam family "Bacterial small subunit ribosomal RNA", at positions 793 to 1055 of the family's 1533-position model. The record is from RNAcentral.
GUCCACGCCGUAAACGAUGGAUACUAGCUGUUGGGGGCAACUUCAGUGGCUAAGCGAAAGUGAUAAGUAUCCCACCUGGGGAGUACGAACGCAAGUUUGAAACUCAAAGGAAUUGACGGGGGCCCGCACAAGCGGUGGAGCAUGUGGUUUAAUUCGAUGAUACGCGAGGAACCUUACCAAGGCUUAAAUGUAGAUUGACCGGUUUGGAAACAGACUUUUCGCAAGACAAUUUACAAGGUGCUGCAUGGUUGUCGU